GUCUAGUUAGCAAUUAUACCGCGAAACUGCGAAUGGCUCAUUAUAUAAGUUAUCGUUUAUUUGAUAGUACCUUACUACUUGGAUAACCGUGGUAAUUCUAGAGCUAAUACAUGCUAAAAAUCCCGACUUCGGAAGGGAUGUAUUUAUUAGAUUAAAAACCAAUGCCCUUCGGGGCUCCUUGGUGAUUCAUGAUAACUUCUCGAAUCGCAUGGCCUUGUGCCGGCGAUGGUUCAUUCAAAUUUCUUCCCUAUCAACUUUCGAUGUUUGGGUAUUGGCCAAACAUGGUUGCAACGGGUAACGGAGGGUUAGGGCUCGACCCCGGAGAAGGAGCCUGAGAAACGGCUACUACAUCCAAGGAAGGCAGCAGGCGCGCAAAUUACCCAAUCCCGACACGGGGAGGUAGUGACAAUAAAUACUGAUACAGGGCUCUUUUGGGUCUUGUAAUUGGAAUGAGUACAAUUUAAAUCCCUUAACGAGGAACAAUUGGAGGGCAAGUCUGGUGCCAGCAGCCGCGGUAAUUCCAGCUCCAAUAGCGUAUAUUAAAGUUGUUGUGGUUAAAAAGCUCGUAGUUGAACCUUGGGCCUGGCUGGCCGGUCCGCCUCACCGCGUGUACUGGUCCGGCCGGGCCUUUCCCUCUGUGGAACCCCAUGCCCUUCACUGGGUGUGGCGGGGAAACAGGACUUUUACUUUGAAAAAAUUAGAGUGCUCCAGGCAGGCCUAUGCUCGAAUACAUUAGCAUGGAAUAAUAGAAUAGGACGUGUGGUUCUAUUUUGUUGGUUUCUAGGACCGCCGUAAUGAUUAAUAGGGACAGUCGGGGGCAUCAGUAUUCAACUGUCAGAGGUGAAAUUCUUGGAUUUGUUGAAGACUAACUACUGCGAAAGCAUUUGCCAAGGAUGUUUUCAUUAAUCAGGAACGAAAGUUAGGGGAUCGAAGACGAUCAGAUACCGUCGUAGUCUUAACCAUAAACUAUGCCGACUAGGGAUCGGACGAUGUUAUUUUUUGACUCGUUCGGCACCUUACGAGAAAUCAAAGUGCU
This 1036-nucleotide ribosomal RNA is filed under the name Cosmospora sp. 4 PC-2011. RNAcentral describes it as "SSU rRNA". It matches the Rfam family "Eukaryotic small subunit ribosomal RNA", at positions 57 to 1107 of the family's 1831-position model. Lineage: Eukaryota; Fungi; Ascomycota; Sordariomycetes; Hypocreales; Nectriaceae. The record is from RNAcentral.